Anthonomus grandis grandis is the source of this 1231-nucleotide long non-coding RNA. RefSeq lists it as uncharacterized. The transcript has 6 exons. NCBI's taxonomy places the organism in Eukaryota, Metazoa, Arthropoda, Insecta, Coleoptera, Curculionidae. The record is from RefSeq and is a predicted model, not a curated record.
AGUGUCAUAUGUUCUAGACUUGUACUAGUGUCGAUUUGUAAAAUAACUGCCUAUCGUAUUGAUUUUUGCUGUCAAAUUGAAUUGUACUAAAAACACCAUUUUAGAAACAAGUAUAGUAUAGAGGCUAUACUUAUCAAAUCCAUAUGGCUUAGGAUAAGGGUUGGACAUUAGUUAGGAUUAUUAAAAUCAUAGAGAUAUAAACUCAAUUCUGGUACCAUCACAGAGAAGUGAAGCCCCUAAGUAUAAAGGAAAGCCCUCUAUUAUUACCACUUAACCAUGAUCGCAGGUGCACCGGUAAAGCCAAGCAAGCUCAUGUCAGAGCAAAGAAGAAGCAAUAGGAAAAAAACUUUAACUACGAGUACUGCCAUAGUGGGUUUUGGGGAGAGCGCUCGGGCUUCACCGACUGAGUUAAUGGAAAGCUUCUGCUGUGAUUCUCUCCUGCGGCAUGCCAUAAGGAUUUAUUGGUUGACUUUUCCUUAACUUGUCGUCUUUCAAUUGUACGUCUCAGAACAUAUAAAGCUUAAGGUGUACAGGAAAUUUAGUCUAGAGCAGGAGUAGGGGCAACUAAAAAAGAUAUUCCAGUACACAUAAUGGCUACUCGUCACGGUCCAGAAUUAUGUACUGUUCUUCCAGCUCUUUACCACUUGACUGGUGCUGAUUAUACAAGUAAAGUUGGAACCAAGUGUAGUGCUCUUUGUGCUAAUCCAAUAAAAUUUCUUAGUAACUUGGCUAAAGGGUACAUCUGAAAUUCAAGUCGAUGGAUUCAGUGCAGCGUGCGGAAGAGUAUCUUGUUCAGGUACUUCGCCAAGGUAACUCAUCAAAAACAUUUGAUGAUUUAAGAUAUUGGCUGUAUCACCAUGGCAAAACUUUUUCUGUCACACUAUUGUCACCUACGAGUGCAUCAAUCAGACUACAUAUUUUACGAGCAUUUUUUGUUGUUUAUACCCAAAACAAUUGCUUGAAAGAAGAAACAUUGCCUUUGGGUCCUCUGAUGUAUAGAUACAAGCUAGAAAAUGACAUCCUUAUUCCAAAAUCUGCUGAUAAUAUAUUUCCUUCAGCCGAAGAAUUAGUCCCGAAUUGCAAUUGUGCUAAAUGUGCACGUAAAAAUAAUUGUUGUUGCCGUGUAGCGGAAUUGCCUUGCUGUUCUUUUUGUCGUUGUCGCAUAACAACUCAAUGUAAAAAUCCUUAUGACAUGUAAAUAGCGAUUUGAAAUAUAAUGUUUUCAAAAUGA